This 156-nucleotide non-coding RNA is filed under the name Marinithermus hydrothermalis. Lineage: Bacteria; Thermotogati; Deinococcota; Deinococci; Thermales; Thermaceae. The record is from RNAcentral. RNAcentral also lists the same sequence under 1 other name.
AUAUGGGUGUCCGGCCGCGGUGCCCCACCGACAGGUGGGGACGCCCAGCCCUAGGGGCGUUGGGGGAAGUCCGGUGCAAGUCCGGCGCUGUCCCGCAACGGUAACCGGGCCUCCGCCCGGAAGCCCGAGUACCCACAUCGCGGCCUAACGCCGUAG